Long non-coding RNA from Oryzias melastigma (Indian medaka), 769 nucleotides. RefSeq lists it as uncharacterized. NCBI's taxonomy places the organism in Eukaryota, Metazoa, Chordata, Actinopteri, Beloniformes, Adrianichthyidae. The transcript is spliced from 2 exons. The record is from RefSeq and is a predicted model, not a curated record.
GGGGGUCCAAUCAUAAACAGUAAAUAAACCGAAAUCUGCAGAUUCUUCUGGAGGAUCCAGAAUCCAGCGGGACGGGUUUGAACCCAAACCUCACACAGAAACUUCUCCCUUUUGGUUCCGUCCGCCUGAUUCCCACUACAGAACCGAUCUGGAUCAGAACCUGAACGUUUCUAAACAACCCAGCUGAUCAGCUGGAGGUUUCCGGGGGUCCGUGAAGGCAGCACCAGCAUAGCUACAAAGCCCGAUCCAGAAAUACCGUCCAAUCAGAGACGAGAAAAAGAUCGAGGCCAACAAUCCAAACGGAGAGGGGGCGGGGCCAGGGAAUCUUCAGCCAAUCAGGAAGAGGCUGCGCGCCCACGAGGCCGAUUGUUGUCCACAGACGCGCGCUCCGGACUGUGACGUAGCAGCAAGAUGCGCACGCGCGGCCGCAUCAUGAGCACGUGGUCGAUGGAGAAGCAAACCUGAUGACCAUCAUCUCUGCAUGUCGGUGACCUCUGGGGUGUCCAGGUCACAUGGUCUUGUCCUGUGGAGUCCAUCACGGCGUCCGUCACUGCAGUCAGAGCGGUGGAGUCGAGCGGUUGCACCCUCACAUCUGGUAAACAGCUGAGCGGCGUUUGCCAGAACCACGUCUGAGGUUCUGGUUCACGGAGGGUCCUUCCAGAUCGUCUUCAGGGCUCCUCCUGUUGUAGAUGACACGUCCUGACUAAAAUAAUCUCGUGGGAUUAACUUUCAGGAUUUCUGUUACAAAAUAAAAAGAAUCAAACCUUCA